AUACUUACAUGACAAGGAAAGAUACCUUGAUCUCGAAGGUGGUUUUUCCAGGGCAAGGCUUUAUUCAUUGCACCCUGGAUGUGCUGACUCCUGUGAUUUCCCCAAAUGUGGGAAACUCGACUGCAUACUUUACGGUAGCGGGAGACUGCAAUCACACUCUCCCC
Molecule: small nuclear RNA, 164 nt
Filed under: Dasypus novemcinctus (nine-banded armadillo)
Lineage: Eukaryota; Metazoa; Chordata; Mammalia; Cingulata; Dasypodidae
Description: U1 spliceosomal RNA (ENSDNOG00000029191.1)
Rfam family: U1 spliceosomal RNA
About the family: U1 is a small nuclear RNA (snRNA) component of the spliceosome (involved in pre-mRNA splicing). Its 5' end forms complementary base pairs with the 5' splice junction, thus defining the 5' donor site of an intron.
Source: RNAcentral